This 452-nucleotide ribosomal RNA is filed under the name uncultured bacterium. Its description in RNAcentral is "bacterial SSU rRNA". It matches the Rfam family "Bacterial small subunit ribosomal RNA", at positions 64 to 507 of the family's 1533-position model. The record is from RNAcentral.
GAACGGUAGCACAGAGAGCUUGCUCUUGGGUGACGAGUGGCGGACGGGUGAGUAAUGUCUGGGAAACUGCCCGAUGGAGGGGGAUAACUACUGGAAACGGUAGCUAAUACCGCAUAACGUCUUCGGACCAAAGUGGGGGACCUUCGGGCCUCACACCAUCGGAUGUGCCCAGAUGGGAUUAGCUAGUAGGUGGGGUAACGGCUCACCUAGGCGACGAUCCGUAGCUGGUCUGAGAGGAUGACCAGCCACACUGGAACUGAGACACGGUCCAGACUCCUACGGGAGGCAGCAGUGGGGAAUAUUGCACAAUGGGCGCAAGCCUGAUGCAGCCAUGCCGCGUGUAUGAAGAAGGCCUUCGGGUUGUAAAGUACUUUCAGUGGGGAGGAAGGCGAUGGAGUUAAUAGCUUCGUCGAUUGACGUUACCCGCAGAAGAAGCACCGGCUAACUCCGUG